GAGUUUGAUCGUGGCUCAGAACGAACGCUGGCGGCAUGCCUAACACAUGCAAGUCGAACGAGCCCUUCGGGGUUAGUGGCGCACGGGUGCGUAACGCGUGGGAAUCUGCCCAAAGGUUCGGAAUAACUCGGGGAAACUCGUGCUAAUACCGGAUAAUGUCGCAAGACCAAAGAUUUAUUGCCUUUGGAUGAGCCCGCGUAGGAUUAGCUAGUUGGUGGGGUAAAGGCUUACCAAGGCGACGAUCCUUAGCUGGUCUGAGAGGAUGAUCAGCCACACUGGGACUGAGACACGGCCCAGACUCCUACGGGAGGCAGCAGUGGGGAAUAUUGGACAAUGGGCGAAAGCCUGAUCCAGCAAUGCCGCGUGAGUGAUGAAGGCCCUCGGGUCGUAAAGCUCUUUUACCAGGGAUGAUAAUGACAGUACCUGGAGAAUAAGCUCCGGCUAACUCCGUGCCAGCAGCCGCCGU
This 466-nucleotide ribosomal RNA is filed under the name uncultured Alphaproteobacteria bacterium. Its description in RNAcentral is "bacterial SSU rRNA". It matches the Rfam family "Bacterial small subunit ribosomal RNA", at positions 9 to 521 of the family's 1533-position model. The record is from RNAcentral. Lineage: Bacteria; Pseudomonadati; Pseudomonadota; Alphaproteobacteria.